This 498-nucleotide ribosomal RNA is filed under the name uncultured bacterium. RNAcentral describes it as "bacterial SSU rRNA". It matches the Rfam family "Bacterial small subunit ribosomal RNA", at positions 18 to 518 of the family's 1533-position model. The record is from RNAcentral.
CCUGGCUCAGGAUGAACGCUGGCGGCGUGCUUAACACAUGCAAGUCGAACGGAGUUUUAAGCGGAAGUUUUCGGAUGGAAGUUAAAACUUAGUGGCGGACGGGUGAGUAACGCGUGGGUAACCUGCCUCAUACAGGGGGAUAACAGUUAGAAAUGACUGCUAAGACCGCAUAAUAUAGCGAAACCGCAUGAUUUUUGCUAUCAAAUAUUUAUAGGUAUGAGAUGGGCCCGCGUCUGAUUAGCUAGUUGGUGGGGUAAAAGCCUACCAAGGCGACAAUCAGUAGCCGGCUUGAGAGAGUGACCGGCCACAUUGGGACUGAGACACGGCCCAAACUCCUACGGGAGGCAGCAGUGGGGAAUAUUGGACAAUGGGGGAAACCCUGAUCCAGCGACGCCCGCGUGAGUGAAGAAGUAUUUCGGUAUGUAAAGCUCUAUCAGCAGGGAAGAUAAUGACAGUACCUGACUAAGAAGCCCCGGCUAACUACGUGCCAGCAGCAGC